Molecule: ribosomal RNA, 361 nt
Filed under: uncultured bacterium
Lineage: Bacteria
Description: bacterial SSU rRNA
Rfam family: Bacterial small subunit ribosomal RNA
Source: RNAcentral
AAUCAACGCUGGCGGCGUGCCUCAGACAUGCAAGUCGAACGCGAAAGGUUCCUUCGGGAGCCGAGUAGAGUGGCGCUCGGGUGAGUAACACGUAGGUAAUUUGCCUUUGGGUGGGGAAUAACAACCGGAAACGGUUGCUAAUACCGCAUAAUGCAGCGGCUCGACAUCGAGACAGUUGUUAAAGCGGGGGAUCCUUCGGGACCUCGCGCCUAAAGAGAAGCCUGCGGCGGAUUAGUUAGUUGGGAGGUAAUGGCUCACCAAGGCGACGAUCCGUAACCGGCCUGAGAGGGCGGACGGUCACACUGACACUUAAAUACGGGUCAGACUCCUACGGGAGGCAGCAGUCGGGAAUUUUGGGCAA